This 484-nucleotide ribosomal RNA is filed under the name uncultured bacterium. RNAcentral describes it as "partial 16S ribosomal RNA". It matches the Rfam family "Bacterial small subunit ribosomal RNA", at positions 30 to 507 of the family's 1533-position model. The record is from RNAcentral.
AUUGAACGCUGGCGGCAUGCUUUACACAUGCAAGUCGAACGGCAGCGCGGGCUUCGGCCUGGCUGCGAGUGGCGAACGGGUGAGUAAUACAUCGGAACGUGCCCAGUAGUGGCGGAUAGCUCGGCGAAAGCCGGAUUAAUACCGCAUACGACCUGAGGGUGAAAGCUGGGGAUCUUCGGAACUCGCCCUAUUGGACCCGCCGAUGGCAGAUUAGCUUGUUGGUGGGGUAAAGGCCUACCAAGGCGCCGAUCUGUAGCUGGUCUGAGAGGACGACCAGCCACACUGGAACUGAGACACGGCCCAGACUCCUACGGGAGGCAGCAGUGGGGAAUUUUGGACAAUGGGCGAAAGCCUGAUCCAGCAAUGCCGCGUGUGUGAUGAAGGCCUUCGGGUUGUAAAGCACUUUUGGCGGGAACGAAAAGGACUGUGCCAAUACCACGGUUCGAUGACGGUACCCGCAGAAUAAGCAACGGCUAACUACGUG